GUCGUGCGCGAUCCGUAGCAAUACGGGGAGAGCGGCGAAAGGGAGAGGAUAGCAUAGAUACCUACCCUCGGACCUGGGAUAGCUAUGGGAAACUAUAGGUAAUAUCAGACAAUGUCUCCGGACCAAAGGUGUGAUUCCGUCCGGGGAGGGGUCUAUGUCCUAUUAGCUUGUUGGUGAGGUAACGGCUCACCAAGGCCAAGAUGGGUACGAGGCGUGAGAGCGUGUCCUCGCUCACUGGGACUGAGACACUGCCCAGACACCUACGGGUGGCUGCAGUCGAGAAUCUUCGGCAAUGGGGGAAACCCUGACCGAGCGACGCCGCGUGCGGGAUGAAGGCCUUCGGGUUGUAAACCGCUGUCAGUGCGGAGGAAAUGUAGUGGGGUUCUCCCCAUUAUUUGACCUAUGCGCAGAGGAAGGACGGGCUAAGUUCGUGCCGGCAGCCGCGGUAAUACGAACCGUCCAAACGUUAUUCGGAAUCACUGGGCUUAAAGGGUGCGUAGGCGGCGUGAUAAGUUGGGUGUGAAAUACCUCGGCCUAACCGAGGAAUUGCGCCCAAUACUGUUAUGCUCGAGGAAGACAUAGGUGAGCGGAACUUAGGGUGGAGCGGUGAAAUGCGUUGAUAUC
This 624-nucleotide ribosomal RNA is filed under the name uncultured bacterium. Its description in RNAcentral is "bacterial SSU rRNA". It matches the Rfam family "Bacterial small subunit ribosomal RNA", at positions 61 to 698 of the family's 1533-position model. The record is from RNAcentral.